Aedes albopictus (Asian tiger mosquito) is the source of this 299-nucleotide long non-coding RNA. RefSeq lists it as uncharacterized. NCBI's taxonomy places the organism in Eukaryota, Metazoa, Arthropoda, Insecta, Diptera, Culicidae. The record is from RefSeq and is a predicted model, not a curated record. The transcript has 3 exons.
AAACCCGAACGGCGAUUGAUAACAGCCGCAUUCUUGUGUUCCGCUGAUUUCUAGUUUUCGAAUUUCUCCCGAUUCGUACCACCCACCCAACAUCCUACUGGGGUGCUGGUGAUGAACGGAAAAAGUGCAGUGUUUUAUGGAAUAAAAACCAGACAAACGAUCGUGUGCAAAGUACGAUCUUUACAAGUUGAUUAAGAUCGAGCCCUGAGGAAGAUCCAACCCAAGGAUCGAAACGUUGGCAAUGAUAUAAAAUUAUCAACGCUUUUUCCCGUGACUGAAAGCCGAAAAACUCCGUAGCU